CAUGAAGCUGGAUUCGCUAGUAAUCGCGCAUCAGCCACGGCGCGGUGAAUACGUUCCCGGGCCUUGUACACACCGCCCGUCAAGCCAUGGAAGCCGGGAGUGCCUGAAGUGCGUGAGUGCAAGCAGCGCCCUAAGGUAAAACCGGUGACUGGGGCUAAGUCGUAACAAGGUACC
This 174-nucleotide ribosomal RNA is filed under the name uncultured bacterium. Its description in RNAcentral is "partial 16S ribosomal RNA". It matches the Rfam family "Bacterial small subunit ribosomal RNA", at positions 1319 to 1500 of the family's 1533-position model. The record is from RNAcentral.